GGCCUUUUGUUUAUAAUUUAAGGUCUAGCCUGCCCACUGAGUAGUUAAAGGGCUGCGGUAUCUUGACCGUGCUAAGGUAGCAUAAUAAUUAGUUUUUUAAUUGAAAGCUGGAAUGAAGGGUUGAACGAGAAAAAAUCUGUCUCAAUUUAAUUUAUUUAGAAUUUUAUUUUUAAGUAAAAAAGCUUAAAUUUUUCAGAAAGACGAGAAGACCCUAUAGAGUUUUAUAAAAAUUUUUAUCUUUAAAUUUUAAGAAUUUAAUUUUUAAAUAAUUUUUUUUAUUUAGUUGGGGUGACUGAAAAAUUUAAUUAACUUUUUCUUUAUUUUUACACUAAUUUGUGAUUUUUUGAUCCAUUUUUUGAUUAAAAGAUUAAAUUACCUUAGGGAUAACAGCGUAAUUUUUCUAGAGAGUUCUAAUCGACAGAAUAGUUUGCGACCUCGAUGUUGGAUUAAAAUUAAUUUUUGGUGCAGAAGCUAAAAGUUUAGGUCUGUUCG
This 492-nucleotide ribosomal RNA is filed under the name Chloridolum viride. Its description in RNAcentral is "partial 16S ribosomal RNA". It matches the Rfam family "Bacterial large subunit ribosomal RNA", at positions 1819 to 2583 of the family's 2925-position model. Lineage: Eukaryota; Metazoa; Arthropoda; Insecta; Coleoptera; Cerambycidae. The record is from RNAcentral.